Molecule: ribosomal RNA, 334 nt
Filed under: Clostridioides difficile
Lineage: Bacteria; Bacillati; Bacillota; Clostridia; Peptostreptococcales; Peptostreptococcaceae
Description: partial 23S ribosomal RNA
Rfam family: Bacterial large subunit ribosomal RNA
Source: RNAcentral
CAUCACAUCCUGGGGCUGUAGUAGGUCCCAAGGGUUGGGCUGUUCGCCCAUUAAAGUGGUACGCGAGCUGGGUUCAGAACGUCGUGAGACCGUUCGGUCCCUAUCCGUCGCAGGCGUAGGAAAUUUGAGAAGACCUGUCCUUAGUACGAGAGGACCGGGAUGGACGUACCUCUGGUGUACCAGUUGUCCUGCCAAGGGCAUGGCUGGGUAGCUAUGUACGGAAUGGAUAAGCGCUGAAAGCAUCUAAGCGCGAAGCCAACUUCAAGAUAAGAUUUCCCACCGCAAGGGUAAGACCCCAGAAAGACUAUCUGGUUGAUAGGUCGAAGGUGUAAGU